This 479-nucleotide ribosomal RNA is filed under the name uncultured bacterium. RNAcentral describes it as "partial 16S ribosomal RNA". It matches the Rfam family "Bacterial small subunit ribosomal RNA", at positions 28 to 507 of the family's 1533-position model. The record is from RNAcentral.
GAUGAACGCUGGCGGCGUGCCUAAUACAUGCAAGUCGAACGAACGGACGAUAAGCUUGCUUCUCUGAUGUUAGCGGCGGAAGUGUGAGUAACACGUGCAUAACCCACCUAUAAGACUGGGAUAACUUCGGGAUACCGGAGCUAAUACCGGAUGAUAUUUUGAACCGCAUGGUUCAAAAGUGAAAGACGGUCUUGCUGUCGGUUGAAGAUGGAUCCGCUCUGCAUUAGCUAGUUGGUGGGGUAACGGCUUACCAAGGCUGCGAGGGAUAGCCGACCUGAGAGGGCGACCGGCCACAUUGGGACUGAGAGACGGGCCAAACUCGGACAGGAGGCAGCAGGGGGGAAGACUGGACAAAGGAAGGAAGUGUGAUGCAGCAAGGCCUCGUGAGGGAUGACGUCCUUUGGGUUGUAAACCGAUUUCAAUAGGGACGAAUCUUCUUUGUGACGGUAGCAGUAGAAGAAGCACCGGCUAACUACGUG